AUUGAACGCUGGCGGAAUGCUUUACACAUGCAAGUCGAACGGCAGCACGGACUUCGGUCUGGUGGCGAGUGGCGAACGGGUGAGUAAUGUAUCGGAACGUGCCCAGCCGUGGGGGAUAACGUAGUGAAAACUACGCUAAUACCGCAUACGAUCUAAGGAUGAAAGCGGGGGAUCGCAAGACCUCGCGCGAUUGGAGCGGCCGAUGGCAGAUUAGGUAGUUGGUAGGGUAAAGGCCUACCAAGCCGACGAUCUGUAGCUGGUCUGAGAGGAUGAUCAGCCACACUGGGACUGAGACACGGCCCAGACUCCUACGGGAGGCAGCAGUGGGGAAUUUUGGACAAUGGACGCAAGUCUGAUCCAGCCAUUCCGCGUGCAGGAUGAAGGCCCUCGGGUUGUAAACUGCUUUUGCACAGAACGAAAAGGCUCUGGUUAAUACCUAGGGCUCAUGACGGUACUGUAAGAAUAAGCACCGGCUAACUACGUGCCAGCAGCCGCGGUAA
This 500-nucleotide ribosomal RNA is filed under the name uncultured bacterium. Its description in RNAcentral is "partial 16S ribosomal RNA". It matches the Rfam family "Bacterial small subunit ribosomal RNA", at positions 30 to 523 of the family's 1533-position model. The record is from RNAcentral.